CCUGGUUGAUCCUGCCAGUGGUCAUAUGCUUGUCUCAAAGAUUAAGCCAUGCAUGUCUAAGCACAAGCUUAAACAAAGUGAAGCCGCGAAUAGCUCAUUACAACAGCCAUUGUUUACUUGAUCUUGAAAUCCUACUUGGAUAACUGUGGUAAUUCUAGAGCUAAUACACGCAAUCAAGCUCUGACCCCUCGGGGGACGAGUGCAUUUAUUAGAACAAAACCAAUCGGACCUCGGUCCGCUCUUUGGUGAAUCUGAAUAACUCAGCAGAUCGCACGGUCUUGUACCGGCGACGUAUCAUUCAAGUGUCUGCCUUAUCAACUGUUGAUGGUAGUUUAUGCGACUACCAUGGUUGUAACGGGUAACGGAGAAUAAGGGUUCGACUCCGGAGAGAGAGCCUGAGAAACGGCUACCACAUCCAAGGAAGGCAGCAGGCGCGUAAAUUACCCACUCUCGGCACGAGGAGGUAGUGAGGAAAAAUAACGAGACGGUUCUCAUUGAGGCCCGUUAUCGGAAUGAGUACAAUCCAAACCCUUUAACGAGGAUCUAUCAGAGGGCAAGUCUGGUGCCAGCAGCCGCGGUAAUUCCAGCUCUGAAGGUGUAUACCACCGUUGUUGCGGUUAAAACGCUCGUAGUUGGAUCUAUGUUCGUGGAGUCGGUGUUCUCGUAUGAGAUCUACUGACUACCUGAACUGAAAUAGCUGGUUUUCCCUUGGUGCUCUUUAUUGAGUGCCUUGGGUGGCUAGCAAGUUUACUUUGAAAAAAUUAGAGUGCUCAAAACAGGCGCAUGCCUGAAUAGUGGUGCAUGGAAUAACGGAAUAGGAUCUUGGUCCUAUUUUGUUGGUUUUCGGGAGCCAAGAUAAUGAUUAAGAGGGACAGACGGGGGCAUUCGUAUUGCAGCGUUAGAGGUGAAAUUCUUGGAUCGUUGCAAGACGAACAACUGCGAAAGCAUUUGCCAAGAAUGUUUUCAUUAAUCAAGAACGAAAGUUAGAGGUUCGAAGGCGAUCAGAUACCGCCCUAGUUCUAACCGUAAACGAUGCCAACUCGCGAUCUAGUGGUGUUAGCAAUGACCCGCUAGGGAGCGUCCCGGAAACGAAAGUUUUUCGGUUCCGGGGGAAGUAUGGUUGCAAAGCUGAAACUUAAAGGAAUUGACGGAAGGGCACCACCAGGAGUGGAGCCUGCGGCUUAAUUUGACCCAACACGGGAAAACUCACCCGGCCCGGACACCGUAAGGAUUGACAGAUUGAGAGCUCUUUCUUGAUUCGGUGGGUGGUGGUGCAUGGCCGUUCUUAGUUGGUGGAGCGAUUUGUCUGGUUAAUUCCGAUAACGAACGAGACUCUAUCCUACUAAAUAGCAAGCGGAUCGGCCCAGUCCGCAGUGCUUCUUAGAGGGACAAGCAGCUUUUAGCUGCACGAAAGUGAGCAAUAACAGGUCUGUGAUGCCCUUAGAUGUCCGGGGCUGCACGCGCGCUACACUGAAAGGAUCAGCGUGCAAGAUACCUUGCCCGAAAGGGCUGGGUAACCCAAUCAAAACCUUUCGUGAUUGGGAUAGGAGAUUGCAAUUAUUCUCCUUGAACGAGGAAUUCCCAGUAAGUGUGGGUCAUCAGCUCGCGCUGAUUACGUCCCUGCCCUUUGUACACACCGCCCGUCGCUGCCCGGAACUGAGCCGUUUCGAGAAGAACAGGGAUUGCUGGAUGGUGACCUUCGGGUUGCCUCCUGGUGAGAACUGUUUUAAUCGGUAUGGCUUGAACCGGGCAAAAGUCGUAACAAGGUU
This 1769-nucleotide ribosomal RNA is filed under the name metagenome. RNAcentral's name for it is "SSU rRNA". It matches the Rfam family "Eukaryotic small subunit ribosomal RNA". The record is from RNAcentral.